UUCCUACGGGAGGCUGCAGUGGGGGAUAUUGCACAAUGGAGGAAACUCUGAUGCAGCAACGCCGCGUGAGGGAAGACGGUUUUCGGAUUGUAAACCUCUGUCCUUGGUGACGAAACAAAUGACGGUAGCCAAGGAGGAAGCUCCGGCUAACUACGUGCCAGCAGCCGCGGUAAUACGUAGGGAGCAAGCGUUGUCCGGAUUUACUGGGUGUAAAGGGUGCGUAGGCGGCACUGCAAGUCAGGCGUGAAAUAUAUGUGCUUAACCCAUAGACUGCGUUUGAAACUGUGGUGCUUGAGUGAAGUAGAGGUAGGCGGAAUUCCCGGUGUAGCGGUGAAAUGCGUAGAGAUCGGGAGGAACACCAGUGGCGAAGGCGGCUUACUGGGCUUUAACUGACGCUGAGGCACGAAAGCAUGGGUAGCAAACAGGAUUAGAUACCCGGGUAGUCCAG
RNAcentral lists this ribosomal RNA (448 nucleotides) under uncultured Ruminococcus sp. RNAcentral describes it as "bacterial SSU rRNA". It matches the Rfam family "Bacterial small subunit ribosomal RNA", at positions 336 to 798 of the family's 1533-position model. The record is from RNAcentral. Lineage: Bacteria; Bacillati; Bacillota; Clostridia; Eubacteriales; Oscillospiraceae.